UCGGGAAUUUUGGGCAAUGGGCGAAAGCCUGACCCAGCAACGCCGCGUGAGGGGUGAAGUAUUUCGGUAUGUAAACCUCGAAAGAAUGGGAAGAAUAAAUGACGGUACCAUUUAUAAGCUCCGGCUAACUACGUGCCAGCAGCCGCGGUAAUACGUAGGGAGCAAGCGUUGUUCGGAUUUACUGGGCGUAAAGGGCGCGUAGGCGGCGCGGUAAGUCACUUGUGAAAUCUCUGAGCUUAACUCAGAACGGCCAAGUGAUACUGCUGUGCUAGAGUGCGGAAGAGGCAACCGGAAUUCUUGGUGUAGCGGUGAAAUGCGUAGAUAUCAAGAGGAACACCUGAGGCGAAGGCGGGUUGCUGGGCCGACACCGACGCUGAUGCGCGAAAGCCAGGGGAGCAAACG
Molecule: ribosomal RNA, 402 nt
Filed under: uncultured bacterium
Lineage: Bacteria
Description: bacterial SSU rRNA
Rfam family: Bacterial small subunit ribosomal RNA
Source: RNAcentral